CAACACAAGCUCAACACACUGUACCUUGAAGGUGAAUUUGCAGGACAGCCCGGGAUCACCAGAGCCGCCUACGUUCAGCCGAGGUGUGCACGCCAGCUGGGCUCUGGAACCUCACAGAUCGGGUGCAAAGGAGAGCAGAGGAGGCAGCGCAGUGGGAGCGACAUCUUGUGGAAGAGAAUCAGGUGCACAACACUGGGAAGUUCUGGUUCCAACCUGGAAGAUUCGCAGAUGAGCCCUGAAACAGUCCUCCUGGGACCAGAGGGACUUGGGGCACGGGAGGUGGGGGUGACGAUGAACCGAGUGCAGGGAGCAAGCGCGGGGCGGUGAGAGGAGAGAAGAAUCUGCCAGUAACCAGUAAGUGGAGGAUUAGGAGUGUUUCGCGUGGUGCUUGCUCUCACACCGCCUGUUUUAAAAUCUUGCACUGCAGGAUGCCAGUGGC
Molecule: long non-coding RNA, 439 nt
Filed under: Microcebus murinus (gray mouse lemur)
Lineage: Eukaryota; Metazoa; Chordata; Mammalia; Primates; Cheirogaleidae
Description: lncRNA (ENSMICG00000048568.1)
Source: RNAcentral